CCACAGCCUUAGAUCAGACGUGGCGACCUGCUGAACUUAAGCAGAGGAAAAGAAACAAAUCCCUCAGUAACGGGCAGUAAAAAGGGAAGAGCUCAGCGCCGAAUCCCCAUUCAGUGGCAGGUGUGGGAAAUGUGGCGUACAGAAUACCGACUCCACUGCAUCGCUCAGGGGGCUCAAGUCCUUCUGAUCGAGUCUCACCACGCACGCAGAUGGUGUUAGGCGAUAGCGGCCUCUUGCACACCGGGAUCAGGUCUUCUUGGAGUCAGGUUGCUUGGGAAUGCAGCCCAAAGCUUGUGGUAAACUAGAGUUCAAGAGGGCAUGAAACGAUUGAGAGGUAAACUGGUGGGGUCUGUGCAGUCUGCCCACAGGAUUCAACACAGCAGUUAGGUUGGUCACCUGGAACGGUGGGGGCCCUUGCGGGUCUGCGGCCCGGGUAUAUCCAGCCCCACCAGCAUGCAUUUCCUCUGUAGUGGUGCACCACGACCGGCUGGGAAGGCCCCAGGGGGCAGGGGGCUCUUUGCUGCAGCAGAGAGUGUGACAGCCCCCUGACAGAAGAUUUUCUGUGUCCAUGGGGCUGAGGGAGAUAGACCACCACUGCGCCCUUAUCCGGCAACCAUCCUGGCCCCUCUUGGGGGUCGCUAGAGUGGCGGCAGGAGAUGGGGCUCCCAAAGCGACUGGUGGACUGCUCUCAAUACGCCCCGACCACAUCAUGCUGCCGGGCAGGGAGGCCCACAAAGGGCACCAGGGGUCUGAGGUGAUGACGGUUAACCACCCGACCUGUCUGGAAACACUGACCAAGGAGUAUAACAUGCACCCGAGUUAGAGGGCCGAAUUAAACCAUGUGAUGUAAUGAUGUUGAGGUCCAGUGCUCGCCGAUUGCAGUGGCAUGCUGUCGCGGUGGGCCCUCCACCGUCCUGUCUCGCCCGCUCUGUCAGAGAGAUGAUGCAUGAGCGUGUGUGAUAGGACCCGAAAGAUGGUGAACUCAGCCUGGUGGAGGUCCGUAGCGGUCCUGAUGUGUAAGUCGAUCAUCCGACCUGGGUAUAGGGGCAAAAGACUGAUUGAACUAUAUAGUAGCGGGUUCUCUCCGAAGUUUCCCUCAGGAUAGCUGGCGCACAGAAACCCCAGUUUUAUCUAGCAAAGCGAAUGAUUAAAGGUCUUGGGGCUAAAAUUAUCUCAAACUUUAAAUGGGCAUGAAACCCGGCUCGCUGGCGUGGAGCCGGGUAUUGUAUGAAAUCGCUCGGUGGGCAACUUUUGGUAAGCAGAACUGGCGCUGCGGGAUGAACCGCACCCCCGGGUUAAGGCGCGUGAUGUAGAUGCUCAUCAGACCCAGAAACGUUGUUGGUUGAUGUAGACAGCUGGAUGGUGGCCAUGGAAGUCGGAAUCCACUAAGGAGUGUGUAACAACUCACCUGCUGAAUCAACUAGCCCUGAAAAUGGAUGGCACUGGAGCGUCAGGCCCAUACCGGCGCUGAGAGCCGUGGGGGCUUAGUUAGGCGAGUAGGAGGGCUGCUGCGGUACGCACAGAAGCUCGUGGCGAGGGCCCGGGUGGAGCCGCCGCAGGUGCAGAUCUUGGUUGUAGUAGCAAAUAUUAAACGAGAACUUUGAAGGCUGAAGUGGAGAAUGGUUCCAUGUGAACAGAAGUUUAACAUGGGUCAGUCAGUCCUAAGAGAUGGGCGAGCGCCGUUCAGAAGGGAUGGGCUAUGGCCUCCGUUGCCCUGAGCCGAUCGAAAGGGAGUCGGGUUCAGAUCCCCGAACCCAGAGUGGCAGGGACGGGCGCCCCUGCGGCAUCCAGUGCGGUAACGCAAAUAAUCCCAUAGAAGCCGGCGGCAGCCGCAGGGAGAGUUAUUUUCUUUGUGAAUGGCAGGGCACCCUGGAAUGGGUUUGCCCUGAGUUAGGGCCCGAGCCUUGGAAAGCGUCACGGUUCUGGCAGCAUCCGGUGAGCUCUGGCUGGUCCUUGAAAAUCUGGGUGAGAUGUUGUAAAUCUCACGCCAGGCCAUACCCAUAUCCGCAGCAGGUCUCUGGCAUGUCAGAACAAUGUAGGUACGGGAAAGUCGGCAAGUUAGAUCCGUAACUUUGGGAUAAGGAUUGGCUCUAAGUGCUGGGUCGGUCGGGCUGGGGCGCGAAGCAGGGCUGGGUGCGUGCCAUGGCUGGAUGAGGCAUCUUUUCCCCCCAGGGGGCAGCUCUGCCUCUGGAUGCGAGCCGGGCCCUUCCUGUGGGGCUCUCGCUUCUGGCUCCAAGCGCCCGGCACCUGCUGGGCACGACCCGCUCCGGGGACAGUGGCAGGUGUGGAGUUUGACUGGGGUGGUACACCUGUCAAAGGAUAACGCAGGUGUCAUAGGGUGAACUAGGGGAGGACAGAAACCUCCCGCGGAGCAGAAGGGCAAAAGCUAGCUUGAUCUCGAUUUUUCAGUCUGAAUAUAGACCCUGAAAGCAGGGCUUCACGAUCGUGCUGACUUUUUGGGUUUCAAGCAGGAGGUGUCAGAAAAGUUACCACAGGGAUAACUGGCUUGUUGUAGCCAAGCUUUCAUAGCGACGUCGCUUUUUGAUCCUUCGAUGUCGACUCUUCUUAUCAUUGUGAAACAGAAUCCACCAAGCAUUGGAUUGUUCACCCACUAAUAGGGAACGUGGGAUGGAUUUAGACCAUCGUGAGACAGGUUCGUUUUACCCUACUGAUGAUGUGUUGUUGCAAUAGUAAUCCUGCUCAGUUUCAGACAUUUGGUGUGCGUGCUUGGCUGAGGAGCCAAUGGGGUGAAGCUACCAUCUGUGGGAUUAUGACUGAACGCCUCUAAGUCAGAAAUGCCCCCCCCCCGCCAAGACGUGAUACUGCAGCGCUGUUGAGCAUCGUUUGGCUUAGGAUAGCCGGCCUCUGGGAUCGUGUGUAGAGCCGCUCGCCUCAGGGCCUUGAGUAUGAACAGAAAGGGGCCACCUCU
Molecule: ribosomal RNA, 2929 nt
Filed under: Ambystoma mexicanum (axolotl)
Lineage: Eukaryota; Metazoa; Chordata; Amphibia; Caudata; Ambystomatidae
Description: eukaryotic LSU rRNA
Rfam family: Eukaryotic large subunit ribosomal RNA
Source: RNAcentral